UAGGGAAUCUUCCACAAUGGACGAAAGUCUGAUGGAGCAACGCCGCGUGAGUGAAGAAGGGUUUCGGGCUCGUAAAACUCUGUUGUUAAAGAAGAACAUAUCUGAGAGUAACUGUUUACCCAGUGACGGUAUUUAACCAGAAAGCCACGGCUAACUACGUGCCAA
This 165-nucleotide ribosomal RNA is filed under the name uncultured bacterium. RNAcentral describes it as "partial 16S ribosomal RNA". It matches the Rfam family "Bacterial small subunit ribosomal RNA", at positions 355 to 511 of the family's 1533-position model. The record is from RNAcentral.